This is a non-coding RNA of Microcebus murinus (gray mouse lemur), 636 nucleotides long. The record is from RefSeq and is a predicted model, not a curated record. NCBI's taxonomy places the organism in Eukaryota, Metazoa, Chordata, Mammalia, Primates, Cheirogaleidae.
ACUGGCUCCAUAAAAAAGAAAACAUUCUUUAUAAUUUAAGUUCUCUUAUCUUUCAAAUGAAUUUUCAAUGUUCACAUUGUGGCUAGAGCUGGCUGCUCUAAGUAACCUUGAAUUAGUGGUACCAUAGACAGUGAGUUUGAUCUCAAUGUCAGUAACCUGGCAUCUGCAGUUUCAAAGUAGGCAGAAAGGACAAGACAGAGAGCUUAACAGACUCAGUAAGAUUUGGUGACCAGAACCUUGUAACUUUCUGUUGCACUGAUGUAACUCUCUGUUGCACUGAUGUAACUUUUUCAGUUUCUUUGCCACUAAUGGAAGAAUCUCCUUGCAGCCAUAAGAUGACUACAAAGCCUUACACUGCCUGUUUGUCCAGAGAAGACAAAGUUCCCAAGGGGGCACUGCAUAGCCUAGUCACUCAAGCAUUUCUGGACCUUAAAACACAUCAGAGAUGGCAUGAGAUGGUUGCGAAAAAGAUGGAAUUUUCCUGAAGUGGUGCUGGGAUAAUUUGUUAUCUACAUGGCACAAAAUGAAAUCAAAUGUCUGGCACAAAUCACACAUAAAAUCAUUCCAGAUAGAUUAAAGACUUCAAUGUGAAAGGCAAAUCUUUGAAACUUUUAAAAUAAAAUGUAUUGUACCUUU